GCCUUCUUAGCUCAGUUGGCAGAGCAGUGGACUCUUAAUCCAUGGGUCGUAGGUUCAAAUCCUACAGGGGGCA
This 73-nucleotide transfer RNA is filed under the name Floricoccus tropicus. It matches the Rfam family "tRNA". From Rfam's summary of the family: Transfer RNA (tRNA) molecules are approximately 80 nucleotides in length. Their secondary structure includes four short double-helical elements and three loops (D, anti-codon, and T loops). The record is from Rfam by way of RNAcentral. Lineage: Bacteria; Bacillati; Bacillota; Bacilli; Lactobacillales; Streptococcaceae.